AGCAGUGUGGUUCAGUGGAAAGAACCCGGGCUUGAGAGCCAGGGGUUAUGGGUUCGAAUCCCAGCUCUGCCA
Molecule: transfer RNA, 72 nt
Filed under: Ornithorhynchus anatinus (platypus)
Lineage: Eukaryota; Metazoa; Chordata; Mammalia; Monotremata; Ornithorhynchidae
Rfam family: tRNA
About the family: Transfer RNA (tRNA) molecules are approximately 80 nucleotides in length. Their secondary structure includes four short double-helical elements and three loops (D, anti-codon, and T loops).
Source: Rfam by way of RNAcentral